GACGAACGCUGGCGGCGUGCUUAACACAUGCAAGUCGAACGAAGUGGCGAACGGGUGAGUAACGCGUAAUCAACCUGCCCUUCAGAGGGGGAUAACAGUUGGAAACGACUGCUAAUACCGCAUACUGAGGGAGGGGAUUGCGGUUGAUUAGCUAGUUGGAGGGGUAACGGCCCCCCAAGGCGAUGAUCAGUAGCCGGUCGGAGAGGAUGAACGGCCACAUGGGGACUGAGACACGGCCCAGACUCCUACGGGAGGCAGCAGUGGGGAAUCUUCCGCAAUGGACGAAAGUCUGACGGAGCAACGCCGCGUGAGUGAUGACGGCCUUCGGGUUGUAAAGCUCUGUUGUUAGAGAAGCGGUAUCUAACCAGAAAGCCACGGCUAACUACGUGCCAGCCGCCGCGGUAAUAC
Molecule: ribosomal RNA, 408 nt
Filed under: uncultured bacterium
Lineage: Bacteria
Description: partial 16S ribosomal RNA
Rfam family: Bacterial small subunit ribosomal RNA
Source: RNAcentral